Molecule: long non-coding RNA, 636 nt
Filed under: Macaca fascicularis (crab-eating macaque)
Lineage: Eukaryota; Metazoa; Chordata; Mammalia; Primates; Cercopithecidae
Description: lncRNA (ENSMFAG00000057513.1)
Source: RNAcentral
UGAUAUGUGGUAGAAAGUGUGCUGUGCUCUAUAAAUAUGUCAUGUGAUUAUCUUUUUGAAAAUCUUAUGUGAAUGACAAGAUAAUAUUUUCUUUCUUACAGAAGGAAGCUGAAAUUGGAAAGGCUACAUUUCUUACUCAAAUUUGAGGUGAAGCAACCAUGGUGCACAGAACAAAUGUUUAACCAUGACACUCGCUUGUACUAAGAGGGAUGUGAUAAGUCUGCUUGGGAGUGUAGUGUGGGCUCAGAAGCAACAGUGCAAACGAUGAAUCCAUGCAAAAGGAUGAAUCUGUCUCCUUUGUUGGAAAAGAAAAGCAUCCCCAGGCCAGAACUGUGGUGAUAAGACCUUGAAACCUGUUGACCAGUACCUGAAAGCAAGCUUCUCCAAACAUAUUAAUGCAAUAUUCCAUGGCUGAUUUUCUGAUUACAGACAAACUAUUCUGUAUUGGCUGUUUCUGCUCCUCCAGCUGUAAGGGCGUCUCCUGCUUCCAAAUAACACUGGUGUAGAACAGUACAGAAGUGUCACAGUUCAUCUUCUUAGGACUAAGCAAUGUCCCAGAACUGUAAGUCCCCUUCUUUAUCACGUUUGUUCUCAUCUAUCUCGUCAAUGUGCUUGGAAACUUGGGGAUGAUCAUUU